GGUAGCGUGGCCGAGCGGUCCAAGGCGCUGGUUUAAGGCACCAGUCUCUUCGGGGGCAUGAGUUCGAAUCCCAUCGCUGCCA
This 82-nucleotide transfer RNA is filed under the name Daphnia pulicaria. RNAcentral describes it as "tRNA-Leu". It matches the Rfam family "tRNA". Rfam says of the family: Transfer RNA (tRNA) molecules are approximately 80 nucleotides in length. Lineage: Eukaryota; Metazoa; Arthropoda; Branchiopoda; Diplostraca; Daphniidae. The record is from RNAcentral.